CGCAAGCCUGACGGAGCAACGCCGCGUGAGGGAUGGAGGCCUUUGGGCUGUAAACCUCUUUUCUCAAGGAAGAAAAUCUGACGGUACUUGAGGAAUAAGCCACGGCUAAUUCCGUGCCAGCAGCCGCGGUAAUACGGGAGUGGCAAGCGUUAUCCGGAAUUAUUGGGCGUAAAGCGUCCGCAGGCGGCCGUUUAAGUCUGUUGUUAAAUCGUGGAGCUCAACUCCAUCACGGCAAUGGAAACUGCUCGGCUUGAGUAUGGUAGGGGCAGAGGGAAUUUCCGGUGUAGCGGUGAAAUGCGUAGAUAUCGGGAAGAACACCAGUGGCAAAAGCGCUCUGCUGGGCCAUUACUGACGCUCAUGGACGAAAGCCAGGGGAGCGAAAGGGAUUAGAUACCCCUGUAGUCCUGGCCGUAAACGAUGAACACUAGAUGUUGGGGGAAUCGACCCCCUCGGUGUCGUAGCUAACGCGUUAAGUGUUCCGCCUGGGGAGUACGCACGCAAGUGUGAAACUCAAAGGAAUUGACGGGGGCCCGCACAAGCGGUGGAGUAUGUGGUUUAAUUCGAUGCAACGCGAAGAACCUUACCAAGGCUUGACAUCCUGCGAAUCUCUAAGAAAUUAGAGAGUGCCCUUUGGGAACGCAGUGACAGGUGGUGCAUGGCUGUCGUCAGCUCGUGUCGUGAGAUGUUGGGUUAAGUCCCGCAACGAGCGCAACCCACGUUUUUAGUUGCCAGCAUUCAGUUGGGCACUCUAGAAAGACUGCCGGUGACAAACCGGAGGAAGGUGUGGACGACGUCAAGUCAUCAUGCCCCUUACGCCUUGGGCUACACACGUACUACAAUGCUGCGGACAAAGAGUAGCGAUCUUGCAAAAGUUAGCUAAUCUCGUAAACCGUGGCUCAGUUCAGAUCGUAGGCUGCAACUCGCCUACGUGAAGGAGGAAUCGCUAGUAAUCGCAGGUCAGCAUACUGCGGUGAAUACGUUCCCGGGCCUUGUACACACCGCCCGUCACACCAUGGAAGUUGGCCAUGCCCGAAGUCGUUACUCUAACCUUUUGGAAGAGGGCGCCGAAGGCAGGGCUAAUGACUGGGGUGAAGUCGUAACAAGGUAGCCGUAGCGGAAGCUGCGGCUGGAUCACCUCCUAACAGGGAGACAUCACUGACUUUGAUGGUUAAGCUUUUCCGAUCUUAGCCCAGAGUCCUGUCAUCUCAAUGGUCGAUCGGUAUCUCUGGUGAAAAUACUUAAAAUUUUCAUCUAGAUUCUUGAACUUGUCUUGGUCAAGCACGAUGAAAUUCGUGGGCCAUGAGCUCAGGUGGUUAGAGCGCACCCCUGAUAAGGGUGAGGUCCUUGGUUCAAGUCCAAGAUGGCCCAUCAUUACUAGGGGGUUUAGCUCAGCUGGUAGAGCGCCUGCUUUGCAAGCAGGAAGCCAGCGGUUCGAAUCCGCUAACCUCCACUGGCAAACUUUUUCAGUUUGCCUUUACGAAUCGAUUCGUCAUUCGAUCAGAAUCUUGAAAACUGCAUAGAUUGAGUCUGGAAAAGCAUCUCAUAGACUUUAGAUUCUAUUGAGAUUAGAAGCGAAUCUUAAGAUUUGCUUUGUCAAGCUACAAAGGGCUCACGGU
RNAcentral lists this small RNA (1616 nucleotides) under Candidatus Synechococcus spongiarum SP3. RNAcentral describes it as "bacterial SSU rRNA". The stretch from base 1 to 1142 matches the Rfam family "Bacterial small subunit ribosomal RNA", at positions 376 to 1533 of the family's 1533-position model. The record is from RNAcentral. Lineage: Bacteria; Bacillati; Cyanobacteriota; Cyanophyceae; Synechococcales; Synechococcaceae.